This 712-nucleotide ribosomal RNA is filed under the name Pseudomonas sp. C201. RNAcentral's name for it is "bacterial SSU rRNA". It matches the Rfam family "Bacterial small subunit ribosomal RNA", at positions 58 to 760 of the family's 1533-position model. The record is from RNAcentral. Lineage: Bacteria; Pseudomonadati; Pseudomonadota; Gammaproteobacteria; Pseudomonadales; Pseudomonadaceae.
CCCGUCGAGCGGCAGCACGGGUACUUGUACCUGGUGGCGAGCGGCGGACGGGUGAGUAAUGCCUANGAAUCUGCCUGGUAGUGGGGGAUAACGUUCGGAAACGAACGCUAAUACCGCAUACGUCCUACGGGAGAAAGCAGGGGACCUUCGGGCCUUGCGCUAUCAGAUGAGCCUAGGUCGGAUUAGCUAGUUGGUGAGGUAAUGGCUCACCAAGGCGACGAUCCGUAACUGGUCUGAGAGGAUGAUCAGUCACACUGGAACUGAGACACGGUCCAGACUCCUACGGGAGGCAGCAGUGGGGAAUAUUGGACAAUGGGCGAAAGCCUGAUCCAGCCAUGCCGCGUGUGUGAAGAAGGUCUUCGGAUUGUAAAGCACUUUAAGUUGGGAGGAAGGGCAGUUACCUAAUACGUAAUUGUUUUGACGUUACCGACAGAAUAAGCACCGGCUAACUCUGUGCCAGCAGCCGCGGUAAUACANAGGGUGCAAGCGUUAAUCGGAAUUACUGGGCGUAAAGCGCGCGUAGGUGGUUCGUUAAGUUGGAUGUGAAAUCCCCGGGCUCAACCUGGGAACUGCAUUCAAAACUGUCGAGCUANAGUAUGGUAGAGGGUGGUGGAAUUUCCUGUGUAGCGGUGAAAUGCGUANAUUUAGGAAGGAACACCANUGGCGAAGGCGACCACCCUGGACUGAUACUUGACACUGAGGUGGCGAAAGC